CCUACGGGUGGCAGCAGUGAGGAAUAUUGGUCAAUGGGCGCGAGCCUGAACCAGCCAAGUCGCGUGAAGGAUGACUGCCCUACGGGUUGUAAACUUCUUUUAUAAAGGAAUAAAGUGAGGCACGUGUGCCUUUUUGUAAGUACUUUAUGAAUAAGGAUCGGCUAACUCCGUGCCAGCAGCCGCGGUAAUACGGAGGAUCCGAGCGUUAUCCGGAUUUAUUGGGUUUAAAGGGUGCGUAGACGGGUUGUUAAGUUAGUUGUGAAAUUUUGAGGCUCAACCUUAAAAUUGCAAUUGAUACUGGCCGUCUAGAGUACAGUUGAGGUAGGCGGAAUGCGUGGUGUAGCGGUGAAAUGCUUAGAUAUCACGCAGAACACCGAUUGCGAAGGCAGCUUACUAAACUACCACUGACGUUGAUGCUCGAAAGUGUGGGUAUCAAACAGGAUUAGAUACCCCAGUAGUC
RNAcentral lists this ribosomal RNA (460 nucleotides) under uncultured bacterium. RNAcentral describes it as "partial 16S ribosomal RNA". It matches the Rfam family "Bacterial small subunit ribosomal RNA", at positions 338 to 795 of the family's 1533-position model. The record is from RNAcentral.